GCAUAAAAAAAAAAGUCUUGGUCAGGAGGUUCUCCUCCACGUGGUAAUCCAUGGAUCCAGUCUCCAACCAACUCAUGGCUGUAUAUCUGUCUGGCUGGUAAACAAAAAGAAAGAACAUGCAGAAUGGUAAGGAAAAAUUAGCAGCACAGGCCUAGAAAUGUAGCCCAAUA
This 170-nucleotide long non-coding RNA is filed under the name Sus scrofa (pig). RNAcentral's name for it is "lncRNA (ENSSSCG00070023865.1)". Lineage: Eukaryota; Metazoa; Chordata; Mammalia; Artiodactyla; Suidae. The record is from RNAcentral.